CUUUCAUCGCACAUGAAUCAUCAGUAUUUAAUGCGACUUCGACGAUAGCGAGACGUGGUGUUAUCUCUCAGACUGGUUCCAUUUGAUGGAAAGAUAAUCCCUACAAAAGGGAUUUUCAUUAUCCUCAAUCGGAUAAUGGAAACGGCGGUCAACGAAGAUUCGAAGUUUCGAGUUUUUGCGAUCUCUUGGAGUUUUCAACGAAUUUCUCUAAACGGAGUUAUCUGAUGAGAGCAACGACGAAGUAUCGAAGUUCCGAAGAGACACCGAAUUCAUGAAAAGAAACAUUUCUUCCGAGAAUUAACGUUGAGAAAUUCAUUUUUGGCCAACCAUCGUCUCGUCCCAGACCACUGUGAAUUGACAGUCUGUUGAACACCGACGGUCGCGCAAGAAUGUCGACGCAGAACACGGAAUAUUCAGCUUCGAACAUGCUUCGUUCGGAUAAUGGAUUGCUCGGAUACCAGAGCACUGGAAUAACGGGUGCUUGACUGCACUGCGAUUGAUAUAUCAUGGCUUGCCAGUGGUACCGAUCAUCGCUAUUCCAGCGGGUCAAAUGUCCCAAAACAGACUGUAUUUUAUAUCUGCGAAAUGAGCACCUACUUUAACCCUUAAAUACAUAUUGUUGCCAAUUGUUUACAUUCCAGUUCCACUUAAUUUUAUUCAAAAA
Long non-coding RNA from Megalopta genalis, 664 nucleotides. RefSeq lists it as uncharacterized. The record is from RefSeq and is a predicted model, not a curated record. NCBI's taxonomy places the organism in Eukaryota, Metazoa, Arthropoda, Insecta, Hymenoptera, Halictidae.